Mus musculus (house mouse) is the source of this 5381-nucleotide RNA transcript. It is a transcript of the gene named polymerase (RNA) I polypeptide B, with no coding region annotated. The transcript has 15 exons. NCBI's taxonomy places the organism in Eukaryota, Metazoa, Chordata, Mammalia, Rodentia, Muridae. The record is from RefSeq and is marked validated.
GGAACUACAUUUCCCAGAAGGCCACGGGGUAGGGUGGCUGUGGGGUUGGUCCGGCCAUUCCAGCCAGCCACGAGUAGCGUCCUAGCUCCGGUCUCCCGUCCGGGACUGGCAGAAGCAUGGAUGUCGACGGCCGGUGGCGGAACCUGCCCAGCGGGCCCAGCCUAAAGCAUUUAACCGACCCCUCGUACGGGAUUCCCCCAGAGCAGCAAAAGGCAGCUUUGCAGGACCUGACGCGGGCGCACGUGGACUCCUUCAACUACGCGGCGCUGGAGGGGCUGAGCCACGCGGUGCAGGCCAUACCUCCCUUUGAAUUUGCUUUCAAAGAUGAGCGCAUAUCUCUUACCAUUGUGGAUGCUGUCAUCAGUCCACCCUCAGUGCCCAAAGGGACCAUCUGCAAAGAUCUCAACGUUUAUCCAGCUGAGUGUCGUGGCCGAAAGAGCACCUACCGAGGGAGGCUGACGGCUGAUAUCAGCUGGGCCGUGAAUGGAGUCCCCAAAGGGAUCAUUAAACAGUUUCUCGGCUAUGUUCCCAUCAUGGUGAAGUCCAAGCUUUGCAACUUAUACAACCUUCCUCCUCGAGUCCUCAUUGAGCACCAUGAGGAGGCAGAGGAAAUGGGCGGUUAUUUUAUAAUCAAUGGCAUAGAAAAAGUCAUCCGCAUGUUGAUUGUGCCCCGGAGAAAUUUCCCCAUCGCCAUGGUAAGGCCGAAAUGGAAAAGCAGAGGACUCGGCUACACUCAGUUUGGGGUCUCCAUGCGCUGUGUGAGAGAAGAGCACUCCGCCGUGAACAUGAACCUGCACUAUGUGGAGAACGGCACGGUUAUGUUAAACUUUAUUUACCGCAAAGAGCUCUUUUUCCUUCCUUUGGGAUUUGCACUUAAGGCACUCGUGAGCUUUUCUGAUUAUCAGAUUUUCCAGGAGCUUAUCAAGGGCAAAGAGGAGGACUCUUUCUUUAGGAAUUCUGUUUCUCAGAUGCUGCGGAUUGUCAUAGAAGAGGGCUGUCACUCACAGAAGCAGGUUCUUAACUAUCUGGGAGAAUGCUUCCGAGUGAAGCUCAGCCUUCCUGAUUGGUACCCUAACGUGGAAGCUGCCGAGUUCCUGCUUAACCAGUGCAUCUGCAUCCACCUGCAGUCCAACACUGACAAGUUCUACCUGCUCUGCCUCAUGACCCGGAAGCUGUUCGCUUUAGCCAGAGGGGAGUGCAUGGACGACAACCCUGAUAGCCUAGUGAACCAAGAGGUCCUCAGCCCUGGGCAGCUCUUCCUGAUGUUUCUGAAGGAAAAAAUGGAAAACUGGCUAGUGUCUAUUAAAAUAGUUUUAGAUAAGAGGGCUCAGAAGGCCAAUGUUUCCAUAAACAACGAAAAUUUGAUGAAGAUUUUUAGUAUGGGAACAGAGCUAACAAGACCAUUUGAAUAUCUUCUUGCUACUGGGAAUCUGCGUUCUAAAACAGGUCUCGGCUUCCUGCAAGAUUCUGGCCUGUGUGUUGUGGCUGACAAGCUGAACUUCCUUCGCUACCUCUCCCAUUUCCGCUGUGUGCACAGAGGGGCUGCCUUUGCCAAGAUGAGGACCACCACCGUGCGCAGGCUGCUGCCAGAAUCCUGGGGCUUCCUCUGCCCUGUGCACACUCCAGACGGGGCGCCUUGUGGGCUGUUGAACCACUUGACUGCCGUGUGUGAGGUUGUUACCAAGUUUGUGUACACGGCAUCUAUUCCAGCCUUGCUCUGUGGCUUAGGAGUCACUCCUGUUGAUACAGCGCCAUGUCGACCGUACAGUGACUGCUACCCUGUCCUGCUGGAUGGCGUCAUGGUGGGCUGGGUGGAUAAGGACCUUGCUCCUGAAGUUGCAGACACUCUCCGUCGAUUCAAGGCUGGUGAGGCCUGUGCAGAACUUGGAACUGGGCAGAGAAGAGCUCAUUGGAACCAUGGAACAGCUCUUCAUGAACGUCGCCAUCUUUGAGGACGAGGUGUUUGGUGGCAUCUCCACACACCAGGAGCUCUUCCCUCACAGCCUGCUGAGCGUGAUCGCCAACUUCAUCCCCUUCUCGGAUCACAACCAGAGUCCUCGGAACAUGUACCAGUGCCAGAUGGGUAAGCAGACCAUGGGCUUUCCGCUGCUCACUUACCAAAACCGAUCAGAUAAUAAACUCUAUCGACUCCAAACCCCUCAGAGCCCUCUAGUGAGACCGUGCAUGUAUGAUUUCUAUGACAUGGACAACUAUCCGAUCGGGACAAACGCCAUUGUAGCUGUGAUCUCCUACACUGGCUAUGAUAUGGAGGACGCCAUGAUUGUCAACAAGGCUUCCUGGGAACGAGGCUUCGCUCAUGGAAGCGUCUACAAGUCUGAGUUCAUAGACCUCUCAGAGAAGUUUAAGCAGGGAGAGGAUAACCUGGUGUUCGGGGUCAAGCCUGGUGACCCUCGGGUGAUGCAGAAGCUGGACGAUGAUGGGUUGCCAUUCAUAGGCGCAAAGCUGGAGUAUGGCGACCCUUACUACAGCUACCUCAACCUUAACACUGGGGAAGGCUUCGUGGUUUACUACAAGAGUAAAGAAAACUGUGUUGUGGACAACAUCAAAGUGUGUAGUAACGACAUGGGCAGUGGGAAGUUCAAGUGUAUCUGCAUCACAGUCCGCAUCCCCCGGAACCCAACCAUUGGAGAUAAGUUUGCCAGCCGACAUGGUCAGAAGGGCAUUUUGAGCAGAUUGUGGCCAGCCGAGGACAUGCCUUUCACUGAGAGUGGCAUGAUGCCGGACAUUCUGUUUAAUCCUCACGGGUUUCCCUCCCGUAUGACCAUAGGUAUGUUAAUCGAGAGCAUGGCUGGGAAGUCUGCAGCUUUGCACGGUCUCUGCCAUGAUGCUACACCCUUCAUCUUCUCCGAGGAGAACUCUGCCUUAGAGUACUUUGGUGAGAUGUUAAAGGCUGCUGGCUACAACUUCUACGGCACCGAGAGACUGUAUAGUGGCAUCAGUGGGAUGGAGCUGGAGGCUGACAUCUUCAUUGGUGUGGUUUAUUACCAGCGCUUACGACACAUGGUGUCAGACAAAUUUCAAGUCAGAACAACUGGAGCCAGGGACAAAGUCACCAACCAGCCCCUCGGGGGACGAAAUGUUCAGGGUGGAAUCCGCUUUGGGGAGAUGGAGCGGGAUGCUCUGUUGGCACACGGUACGUCUUUCCUUCUUCAUGACCGGCUUUUCAACUGCUCUGACCGUUCUGUCGCUCACAUGUGUGUAGAGUGUGGCAGUUUGCUUUCUCCGCUACUUGAGAAGCCUCCUCCGUCUUGGUCUGCGAUGCGCAACAGAAAGUACAACUGCACUGUCUGUGGCCGCAGUGACACCAUCGACACCGUCUCUGUGCCGUAUGUCUUCCGGUACUUUGUAGCUGAGCUGGCAGCCAUGAACAUCAAAGUGAAACUGGAUGUCAUCUGACUUGAUCCCCGCCAUCUGAGCUAGGAGAUAAGAACAGGAGGUGUCCUGUAUAACACAAGUGAGGGUAUUAUGGGCUCACUCUGGGUCUAUACAAGAAUUUCAGUACUGAAGCCAAGAACAGGCAGGUGAAAAUUCAAGACUUCUGAGUCUCUGUAACCUACUGAAGUUGGUUUUCAUAUCUUUUUCAAGACAGGGUUUCUCUGUGUAGCCCUGGCUGUCCUGGAACUCACUUUGUAGACCAGGCUGGUCUCAAACUCAGAAAUCCACCUGCCUCUGCCUCCUGAGUGCUGGGAUUAAAGGCGUGCGCCACCACGCCCAGCCUCAUAUCUUUUUUUAAAAAAGUUAUUUUUGUGCCUUUAAAAAAUGACUUAAUUGAUAAUAGAUCAUGCAGGGCAGGGCGCCUUCUUUCUGGGCCCAGGUUCACUGCUCCCUGCUUUCAGUAGCAGAGGGUGUCUGUUAUCCAGAGCAGGCCAGUACAAUAAACAGAAAAUGGAAGCCAUAUGUGUGAUUUUUAUUUUUAUAUACAUAGAAACUAAAGCUAGUUCAUGUAUAUAAUUUGAUGGGUAAAUUGGAAUGUAGGUGUGGUCUGUGAUGUCAUUAUCACAGUCAAGGUGAGUAACUAGAUCUGUUGGUCAGUGUUGAGUGCUGCAGUAGAGAGAGCAGCUCACCAAGAUGCUAACCAUUUUCCACAGGAGCAAAGGAGCUCAGCCUUCUUGAAAAGACUGACCCCAGCUAGCACAUAGCAGUUACUUUUAUCCAGUCAUUAUACAAAAUUAAUUGGGUCGGGAAAGGUUCCAACUACCAGAGUUAUCUUGCUUGCCCUUGCUGUCCGAGAGAGCAGACAGCCCACACAAAUCCCUUUUUGACCAUGGCUAGCCAUAAUCAAGAGCAAGAACUCCAGGUUUGCCAGGAGUGUCUUAGUACCAAGGUCUGUGCAGCUGAAAACAGUGCAGACUUUGGAGGAAGACAACAUUUCUUCAAGGUUCAAACGUCUCAAAACAAUUUCUUAACCUCUGCUUAUUAACCUAGACAUAGCUUUGCUGAAACAGUUCACUCAAACCAGACACAAAGGUUUCCUAUAAAUUUCACUACACAGAUUCAUCAUCUCCAAAGUUUCCUUGUGCACCUUUGAGUGGUGUGUGUGUGUGCGUGCGUGUGCGUGCGUGCGUGCGUGCGUGCGUGCGUGCGCGCGCAUGUGGUGGGAUCAUGCAGCACCCGUCCUGUGUGAUGGGCAUCUUUCAUGUAGCAUGACCUCGUCUACGCUCAGCCGUGUUUUUGAACAUGGUGGGACUUCCUCCUCCUUUAAGGCUGAAUGUAUCUGAUUAUUGAGUAACUAUGUUCCUUUGCCUUUUUGCUAACCUCUGUAUGCGUUUCUCCGUGCUUGUUAGGGUUCUGUGUGUGCUUGUGUAUAACAUCUUACACAGCCGUACUGCUCCCUGUGAAUGGGUGUUUGAAUUUUUUUCAUAAGGAGAACACCUUGAAUUGGUUGAUCCUUCCCCUGUGUUAACAGCUCAACUUUAGACCCGCACAACCUAUUCUCUGUCUCUUCACAAUAUCGUAGCUGGGGAUAGUGUGCAGAUCUAGUGUCCAAGUAUUUGUGUUCUAAGGGUCUUGUUGCCCGUGAACUAGUCACCUCCCUGCUCCAGCCUCCCGAGUGUGAGAAUUAGCAUCAUAUCCCACAAUACCUCGCUAAAUUUUUUAAAAUUAACUUUUGAUCUUAAAUUGUAGAUUCUUGACUAAAAAAAUCUAUGUGACAUUAAGACAACCUGGGCGCUUACUCAGACUUGGCAGUUUUAUGUGCUCUUAUGUAUAGUUAGUUGCAUGGACUGUUAUCCUCUGGGUAGAUUGCUGUUACACACAGGACAUUAUUACAAGCUUGUCCUGUUGUGUCUUCUCUCAUUAUCUCUAACCCUUCAACAUAUUCUCAAUAAUUUCAAGAAAUACAUGUAAAUAGAAUCAUGGCA